AACAUUUAGUUUUAAAAAACCU
This 22-nucleotide non-coding RNA is filed under the name Rattus norvegicus (Norway rat). Lineage: Eukaryota; Metazoa; Chordata; Mammalia; Rodentia; Muridae. The record is from RNAcentral.